This 301-nucleotide ribosomal RNA is filed under the name uncultured bacterium. Its description in RNAcentral is "partial 16S ribosomal RNA". It matches the Rfam family "Bacterial small subunit ribosomal RNA", at positions 509 to 808 of the family's 1533-position model. The record is from RNAcentral.
CAGCCGCCGCGGGAAUACGGAGGGUGCAAGCGUUAAUCGGAAUUACUGGGCGUAAAGCGUGCGUAGGCGGUUCGUUAAGUCUGUUGUGAAAGCCCCGGGCUCAACCUGGGAAUGGCAAUGGAUACUGGCGAGCUAGAGUGUGUCAGAGGAUGGUGGAAUUCCCGGUGUAGCGGUGAAAUGCGUAGAGAUCGGGAGGAACAUCAGUGGCGAAGGUGGCCAUCUGGGACAACACUGACGCUGAGGCACGAAAGCGUGGGGAGCAAACAGGAUUAGAUUACCCCUGUAGUCCCUGUCUCUUAUA